RNAcentral lists this unclassified non-coding RNA (274 nucleotides) under Hevea brasiliensis (rubber tree). Lineage: Eukaryota; Viridiplantae; Streptophyta; Magnoliopsida; Malpighiales; Euphorbiaceae. The record is from RNAcentral.
AAGAAGAAGAAGAAGAAGAAGGGUUUUGCGUAAACUCAACAAGUUAAAAUUAACAUGACAGGGAGGGAAAUAAUAAACAAUGCAUGCAUAUGCUAAAAAUGAUUGAAACUUCUCAUCUGCUAGAAAUGAUUGAAACGUCUCAUCUUAUCCUUCCUUCUACCCUUCUGUUUUCUUUGUAUUGAUAUAUAGCAAAACUUUCUUAUACUCAAAGUGGUUUCUGUCACCAGACAUGUCCAUGGAAGAAGAAGCACUAAGUUCUAAGUUGCUGUCACAA